Molecule: ribosomal RNA, 915 nt
Filed under: Clostridium butyricum
Lineage: Bacteria; Bacillati; Bacillota; Clostridia; Eubacteriales; Clostridiaceae
Description: bacterial LSU rRNA
Rfam family: Bacterial large subunit ribosomal RNA
Source: RNAcentral
GGGGCAUAGCGCUUACCGAACCUUAUCAAACUCCGAAUGCCAGAUACUAUCAGCACGGCAGUCAGACUAUGAAAGAUAAGUUCCAUGGUCAAAAGGGAAACAGCCCAGAUCGUCAGCUAAGGUCCCAAAGUGUAAGUUAAGUGGAAAAGGAUGUGGGAUUUCUAAGACAACUAGGAUGUUGGCUUAGAAGCAGCCACUCAUUAAAAGAGUGCGUAAUAGCUCACUAGUCAAGAGAUCCUGCGCCGAAAAUGUCCGGGGCUCAAACUUACCACCGAAGCUACGGGUUCAUACUUUGUAUGAGCGGUAGAGGAGCGUCGUAAUCGGGCUGAAGUCGUACCGUAAGGAGCGGUGGACUGAUUACGAGUGAGAAUGUUGGCAUUAGUAGCGAGAUGUAGGUGAGAAUCCUACAGGCCGAAUAUCUAAGGUUUCCUGAGUAAAGUUUGUCUUCUCAGGGUUAGUCGGGACCUAAGGCGAGGCCGAGAGGCGUAGUCGAUGGACAAUUGGUUGAUAUUCCAAUACCACUAUAAUCGUUAUUAUCGAUGGUGUGACGGAGAAGGAUAGGAUGUGCCAGCUAUUGGAUGCUGGUCUAAGCGUUGAGGGAGUUAGAACAGGCAAAUCCGUUCUAACAAUCCUAGGGCGUGAUGGGGAAGGUUCUACGGAACCGAAGUAUCUGAUUUCAUGCUUCCAAGAAAAGCAUCUAGAAAGAGAAGUAGUGCCCGUACCGCAAACCGACACAGGUAGAUGAGGAGAGAAUCCUAAGGCCGACGGAAGAAUCACAGUUAAGGAACUAGGCAAAUUGACCCCGUAACUUCGGGAGAAGGGGUGCCUACCAAUUGGUAGGCCGCAGAGAAUAGGCACAAGCAACUGUUUAACAAAAACACAGGUCUCUGCUAAAGCGUAAGCUGAUGUAUAGGG